Molecule: ribosomal RNA, 427 nt
Filed under: uncultured bacterium
Lineage: Bacteria
Description: partial 16S ribosomal RNA
Rfam family: Bacterial small subunit ribosomal RNA
Source: RNAcentral
UAGGGAAUCUUCCGCAAUGGGCGAAAGCCUGACGGAGCAACGCCGCGUGAGUGAAGAAGGUCUUCGGAUCGUAAAACUCUGUUAUUAGGGAAGAACAAAUGUGUAAGUAACUAUGCACGUCUUGACGGUACCUAAUCAGAAAGCCACGGCUAACUACGUUCCAGCAGCCGCGGUAAUACGUAGGUGGCAAGCGUUAUCCGGAAUUAUUGGGCGUAAAGCGCGCGUAGGCGGUUUUUUAAGUCUGAUGUGAAAGCCCACGGCUCAACCGUGGAGGGUCAUUGGAAACUGGAAAACUUGAGUGCAGAAGAGGAAAGUGGAAUUCCAUGUGUAGCGGUGAAAUGCGCAGAGAUAUGGAGGAACACCAGUGGCGAAGGCGACUUUCUGGUCUGUAACUGACGCUGAUGUGCGAAAGCGUGGGGAUCAAACA